Molecule: long non-coding RNA, 558 nt
Filed under: Salmo salar (Atlantic salmon)
Lineage: Eukaryota; Metazoa; Chordata; Actinopteri; Salmoniformes; Salmonidae
Description: lncRNA (ENSSSAG00000106412.1)
Source: RNAcentral
CGCACACACACACACACACACACACACACACACACACACACACACACACACACACACACACACACACACACACACACACACACACACACACACACACACAUAUACGCCCACACACAUAUGCAAACACUGCAAACACGCGCACACACACACAACCUUCGGGACAGCUGGUGACCGGGGGAGAGCAAGGCAACCGCAGAAGGUUACUCUAAACACCGGUGAUUGCACCCUGCUGUCCAUUCAGGAAUUAUUCUCUUCUCUCAACCAAUCAGAUCGUGCACUCAGACUGCCCAUUCAUAAAGAAACAGCACUGAGUUCCGCAUGUGUUUGGUCUAACUAUGGAGGAUCUGUGAGCGUUUUCUCAGCCUUAACGUGGACCAUAUGACAUCCAUCAGAAGCAGCAGUGUUAGCUGAGAUUUUUAUUUUUUUCACUUACCCUCUCGGAGCAUUUCCUCCUGACGUCUGGAAGCCUCUUACCAGUCUACACCACAGAGAAAGUACCUGGACUUACAGUCAGUCUCCGCUGAGACACCUGAGAAACAGGAAGAUAAGCUGAGCGAU